This 76-nucleotide transfer RNA is filed under the name Flavonifractor sp. An4. Its description in RNAcentral is "tRNA-OTHER". It matches the Rfam family "tRNA". From Rfam's summary of the family: Transfer RNA (tRNA) molecules are approximately 80 nucleotides in length. Their secondary structure includes four short double-helical elements and three loops (D, anti-codon, and T loops). Further hydrogen bonds mediate the characteristic L-shaped molecular structure. tRNAs have two regions of fundamental functional importance: the anti-codon, which is responsible for specific mRNA codon recognition, and the 3' end, to which the tRNAs corresponding amino acid is attached (by aminoacyl-tRNA synthetases). tRNAs cope with the degeneracy of the genetic code in two manners: having more than one tRNA (with a specific anti-codon) for a particular amino acid; and 'wobble' base-pairing, i.e. permitting non-standard base-pairing at the 3rd anti-codon position. The record is from RNAcentral. Lineage: Bacteria; Bacillati; Bacillota; Clostridia; Eubacteriales; Oscillospiraceae.
GGCCUUGUAGCUCAGGAGGAUAGAGCGCCCUAACCUAAUGGGGUGGGUGUCGCCGGUUCGAGUCCGGUCAAGGCCA